RNAcentral lists this ribosomal RNA (393 nucleotides) under uncultured bacterium. RNAcentral describes it as "partial 16S ribosomal RNA". It matches the Rfam family "Bacterial small subunit ribosomal RNA", at positions 523 to 918 of the family's 1533-position model. The record is from RNAcentral.
AUACGGAGGAUGCGAGCGUUAUCCGGAUUUAUUGGGUUUAAAGGGUGCGUAGGCUGUGCUGCAAGUCAGUGGUGAAAGACCUGCGCUCAACGCAGGAAGUGCCAUUGAUACUGCAGUGCUGGAGUACCCCUGCCGUGGGAGGAAUGAGUGGUGUAGCGGUGAAAUGCAUAGAUAUCACUCAGAACACCGAUUGCGAAGGCAUCUCACGUAAGGGCAACUGACGCUGAGGCACGAAAGCGUGGGGAUCAAACAGGCUUAGAUACCCUGGUAGUCCACGCUGUAAACGAUGAUGACUAACUGUCGGCGAUAUACAGUCGGUAGCCAAGCGAAAGCGAUAAGGCAUCCACCUGGGGAGUACGACCGCAAGGUUGAAACUCAAAUGAAUUGGCGGGG